GUUGUGGCUCAAUGGUAGAGCACUUGCCUGGCAUGAGUGAGGCACUGGGUUCAAUUCUCAGCACCACA
This 68-nucleotide transfer RNA is filed under the name Marmota monax (woodchuck). RNAcentral describes it as "tRNA.Ala". The stretch from base 3 to 63 matches the Rfam family "tRNA", at positions 6 to 65 of the family's 71-position model. Rfam says of the family: Transfer RNA (tRNA) molecules are approximately 80 nucleotides in length. Their secondary structure includes four short double-helical elements and three loops (D, anti-codon, and T loops). The record is from RNAcentral. Lineage: Eukaryota; Metazoa; Chordata; Mammalia; Rodentia; Sciuridae.